RNAcentral lists this ribosomal RNA (253 nucleotides) under uncultured prokaryote. Its description in RNAcentral is "partial 16S ribosomal RNA". It matches the Rfam family "Bacterial small subunit ribosomal RNA", at positions 524 to 776 of the family's 1533-position model. The record is from RNAcentral.
UACGUAGGGAGCGAGCGUUGUCCGGAGUUACUGGGCGUAAAGCGCACGCAGGCGGUCUAUCGCGUUCGUGCCGACAGCGACUCGCCUAACGAGUCGAGGAGUACGGAAACGGGUAGACUUGAGGGCCAGAGAGGGACACGGAACUCCGGGUGGAGUGGUGAAAUGCGUAGAGAUCCGGAAGAACACCAAAGGCGAAGGCAGUGUCCUGGUUGGUACCUGACGCUCAGAGGCGACAGCUAGGGGAGCGAACGGG